UAGAGAUAGAGCGUUCCCCUUCGGGGGACAGAGUGACAGGUGGUGCAUGGUUGUCGUCAGCUCGUGUCGUGAGAUGUUGGGUUAAGUCCCGCAACGAGCGCAACCCUUGAUCUUAGUUGCCAGCAUUCAGUUGGGCACUCUAAGGUGACUGCCGGUGACAAACCGGAGGAAGGUGGGGAUGACGUCAAAUCAUCAUGCCCCUUAUGACCUGGGCUACACACGUGCUACAAUGGAUGGUACAAAGGGCUGCAAGAC
RNAcentral lists this ribosomal RNA (255 nucleotides) under Priestia megaterium. RNAcentral describes it as "partial 16S ribosomal RNA". It matches the Rfam family "Bacterial small subunit ribosomal RNA", at positions 1001 to 1255 of the family's 1533-position model. The record is from RNAcentral. Lineage: Bacteria; Bacillati; Bacillota; Bacilli; Caryophanales; Bacillaceae.